This 82-nucleotide transfer RNA is filed under the name Pleuronectes platessa (European plaice). RNAcentral describes it as "tRNA-Ser". The record is from RNAcentral. Lineage: Eukaryota; Metazoa; Chordata; Actinopteri; Pleuronectiformes; Pleuronectidae.
GACAUUUAAUUGUAGUGGUUAAUGCGAUGGACUGCUGAUCCAUUGUGCUCUGCACGCGUGGGUUCGAAUCCCAUCCUCGUCG